This 107-nucleotide ribosomal RNA is filed under the name Pteropus alecto (black flying fox). Lineage: Eukaryota; Metazoa; Chordata; Mammalia; Chiroptera; Pteropodidae. The record is from RNAcentral.
GUCUACGACCAUGCCACCCUGAACAUGUCCAAUCUCGUCUGAUCUCAGAAGCUAAGCAGGGUCGGGCCUGGUUAGUACUUGGAUGGGAAUACCAGGUACUGUAGGCA